GAACAAUAAAUUAGAAAAAGUACACCUCCCCGUCGGGGAAUUGAACCGCGGUCUCCCGCGUGACAGGCGGGGGGACUCACCACUAUACUAACGAGGAGCUACUACCUACUGUAACAUCUUUAUUUACGUGUGUCAUAUUCCCUAUACUGCGAUCCGUCGCUCCAGCCUCUCAGAGUGUUUAGGGAAAAACUGGAACUUGGAGCUGUAGCCUUCAGGAUGCUUUCCGGGGUCGUAGUCACCGAUCUCAGCUAAGGGAGGAAACGGGAAAGGUGAACUUGAAUUAAGGAAGACGAGAUAUCUGCAAAGACAAGAAGAUAAAAUAUCCAUAUCUGACAAUCGGACAAGGAGCCUUAGCUUGACCAUAAAGUGAAAGAAAAAAGGGAAAAAGGAAAGAAGUCAAGAAAAAAAAAAUACCCUGAAGGAAAAACUGCUGCUGCUGUUGCUAAUGCUGUGGUGAAGCCUCCACCCUCAGCUGCACAGAUAAAACUCCGGAAUUCAUUCUGCUGCACCUACGGUCGCAUGGGUUGAUGAAAUCAAAAGGCCCAAAAUUCACCUGCUAAUCAAACAUGGAAGAGGAAAUUCCCUCGAUGUGCCGCGCAAACCAGAGGAGAGGCUUCGUACCCGAUUUAGCUCCUCGCCAAAAACCCCAUCCGUGGUUUCCAGGCAGCAGUAUCAUAGCAACAGUGGUUUCCUUGAGCUUGGAGCGUCUCCUCCGUCACAGCCUUCAGUUUCUCCAACAGGAGCCCUCUGAAUGAAGGUCGCCACACACACAGUGACUGAAUGAGGCCAGUGGAGUCACACAGACCACAGAUAUGUCACCAGCCCUGAAGGAUCAUGGGAGUCCAGGUGGAAACCAGUCCAGACUGCAGAGUUUUAAGAAUACAGCCAGUCAGACAAAUGGCGUUCUGGGCCUGGAGCAUUUCAAAAUCAUCACGGUCGCCAGGCUUGAAGACAGAUGGGUGUACCGGUCUUCCCAGAGACAUGUAAGAUCUCGGAACUGAAAACACAUACAAGUAGAUUAUAACCUGUCACCCCGUACAGCAUCAUCACAAGCUCUUAACAAACAACAAGACACGACGAAUCCAGUGAUGAAAAGACACCGCGGCGGCCUGGAGGACAUGCCUGGACUGUCCUGCCUCUGCCCUCUCUCUGCUGUAGCUGUGAGAGAGGCCACGCUGAUGUAAUCCUCCAUCACAGGCAGCCAUGUGGCCCAGGAUCGACCAAUCCUAACGCUGCUGCGCAGUGAUGCUGGUAAACACCAGCGAUUGUCAUCAGAGCUGAUUCAAGCAAAACUACUGAAGGUCCUGACAUGUAAGGUCAGCAGAGGAAGACAUGCGAGAUGAUGUCAUCACAGUCGGACUCGUACUGUCAGUCACAACAUGUCUCCUCAAAGAUCAGCAACUGCAACUGCACUGCAGGUGUCACUGCGUCGUGUUACCACCAAAAAGGGACCGUGUCACUGCAACAAAACAAGCGCAAGGCGCCGACUGACUCAGCGUAAAGGUGUGCUGCUCAGAGCCACGGUGCAGUCCUGGGCCUGGGGGCUGAUGGUCUUCACAGUGGCAAAAAUAACCAAGACGUUGGAGAACAAAGCCGAGAAACUGACUUCAACUUCUACGCCACAGGGAAACCUCAGGCACUGCUUCUCUGGAAGUUCUAAAAGAAGAUGUGAAGAAGUUAAAUGGAGCCGUCCCCUUUCUGUGAAUGAGGCUAAAAAUGUGACAUCAAACCACAGCGACUGUAGUAGGUUUGUCAGAUGAUGAGAGGUGAGGAUGAUUUUUACUCACUUCUCCACCUCAGUCAAGUGAAAGUUAGCAGUUGAAUUGCACCUGCGUUUUAACGCCUGUGAAAAAACACUGUAGGGAUUUUUUUUUUUUUGCUCUCUCUUACUGUUUGCUUGUCUCCAGCAGGCGUCUCGCAGGCGUAGCUCCUGUGUGUGGCCCGUGGUCCGGAUGGGAUCCGUGAGGGAGCGAGGUUCCUUCAGGGCGUCCAGGAGGAUGACACUCAGUGCCGUCUGUCUCUGCUGCAUGCUGAUCAUGAUCCUCUGUACACACACACAGUUUUCAGGACGGUACGGCUGAGGAGCGUCAACCGCCACGAGCAGCUGAAUGAACCUCUCGAUGGCCGCCAGCAUCUCGUCUCUGGUGAGGUCCAGCAGGGAGACCACUCUGAAGCCCAGCUGCCGCCGCAGGUUAGCCAAAUUG
Cynoglossus semilaevis (tongue sole) is the source of this 2204-nucleotide long non-coding RNA. RefSeq lists it as uncharacterized. The record is from RefSeq and is a predicted model, not a curated record. The transcript is spliced from 15 exons. Lineage: Eukaryota; Metazoa; Chordata; Actinopteri; Pleuronectiformes; Cynoglossidae.